Molecule: ribosomal RNA, 235 nt
Filed under: uncultured bacterium
Lineage: Bacteria
Description: partial 16S ribosomal RNA
Rfam family: Bacterial small subunit ribosomal RNA
Source: RNAcentral
UGGCGGACGGGUGAGUAAUGUCUGGGAAACUGCCUGAUGGAGGGGGAUAACUACUGGAAACGGUAGCUAAUACCGCAUAACGUCGCAAGACCAAAGAGGGGGACCUUAGGGCCUCUUGCCAUCGGAUAUGCCCAGAUGGGAUUAGCUAGUAGGUGGGGUAAAGGCUCACCUAGGCGACGAUCCCUAGCUGGUCUGAGAGGAUGACCAGCCACACUGGAACUGAGACACGGUCCAG